AAAGGUGGAGGUGCGGUAACCU
RNAcentral lists this microRNA (22 nucleotides) under Murid gammaherpesvirus 4 (Murine herpesvirus 68). Its description in RNAcentral is "mghv-miR-M1-7-5p". Its record names the gene mghv-miR-M1-7-5p. Lineage: Duplodnaviria; Heunggongvirae; Peploviricota; Herviviricetes; Herpesvirales; Orthoherpesviridae. The record is from miRBase by way of RNAcentral.